UGCAUGAAAUGCUCGCUAAUCAGGAA
Molecule: non-coding RNA, 26 nt
Filed under: Rattus norvegicus (Norway rat)
Lineage: Eukaryota; Metazoa; Chordata; Mammalia; Rodentia; Muridae
Source: RNAcentral